Molecule: ribosomal RNA, 468 nt
Filed under: uncultured bacterium
Lineage: Bacteria
Description: partial 16S ribosomal RNA
Rfam family: Bacterial small subunit ribosomal RNA
Source: RNAcentral
GACGAACGCUGGCGGCGUGCUUAACACAUGCAAGUCGAACGGAAAGGCCCUGCUUUUGUGGGGUGCUCGAGUGGCGAACGUGUGAGUAACACGUGAGUAACCUGCCCUUGACUUUGGGAUAACUUCAGGAAACUGGGGCUAAUACCGGAUAGGAGCUCCUGCUGCAUGGUGGGGGUUGGAAAGUUUCGGCGGUUGGGGAUGGACUCGCGGCUUAUCAGCUUGUUGGUGGGGUAGUGGCUUACCAAGGCUUUGACGGGUAGCCGGCCUGAGAGGGGGACCGGCCACAUUGGGACUGAGAUACGGCCCAGACUCCUACGGGAGGCAGCAGUGGGGAAUAUUGCACAAUGGGCGGAAGCCUGAUGCAGCAACGCCGCGUGCGGGAUGAAGGCCUUCGGGUUGUAAACCGCUUUCGCCUGUGACGAAGCGUGAGUGACGGUAAUGAGUAAAGAAGCACCGGCUAACUACGUG